Molecule: ribosomal RNA, 492 nt
Filed under: uncultured bacterium
Lineage: Bacteria
Description: partial 16S ribosomal RNA
Rfam family: Bacterial small subunit ribosomal RNA
Source: RNAcentral
AGUGAACGCUGGCGGUAGGCCUAACACAUGCAAGUCGAACGGCAGCACAGUAAGAGCUUGCUCUUACGGGUGGCGAGUGGCGGACGGGUGAGGAAUACAUCGGAAUCUACUUUUUCGUGGGGGAUAACGUAGGGAAACUUACGCUAAUACCGCAUACGACCUACGGGUGAAAGCAGGGGAUCUUCGGACCUUGCGCGAUUGAAUGAGCCGAUGUCGGAUUAGCUAGUUGGCGGGGUAAAGGCCCACCAAGGCGACGAUCCGUAGCUGGUCUGAGAGGAUGAUCAGCCACACUGGAACUGAGACACGGUCCAGACUCCUACGGGGGGCAGCAGCGGGGAAUAUUGGACAAUGGGCGCAAGCCUGAUCCAGCCAUACCGCGUGGGUGAAGAAGGCCUUCGGGUUGUAAAGCCCUUUUGUUGGGAAAGAAAAGCAGCAGGUUAAUACCCCGCUGUUCUGACGGUACCCAAAGAAUAAGCACCGGCUAACUUCGUG